Molecule: long non-coding RNA, 1085 nt
Filed under: Felis catus (domestic cat)
Lineage: Eukaryota; Metazoa; Chordata; Mammalia; Carnivora; Felidae
Description: lncRNA (ENSFCAG00000044892.2)
Source: RNAcentral
CUGCAUUAUUAGUUGAGUCAAAAAUGCAAGAAGUUAAUUGUUCUGAGAACAAUGAAAUGUGACUUUCAAUUAUUCUGGAUGAUGAAGAAAAGGUUUAAAUGGAUGAUCUAAAACAAAGGACUGUUAGUUAACAGAAUACGCAAAUUAGACUGCAUUAUAUUGAUAUGUUAUUGUCAAUUUCAACUCUGAUAACUGCCAAUUAACAUACGGUUGUUUCCAGGGAGAAAACAAUAGAGAAGAGUGAGCGGAGAGAUGAAGUCUCCUCACCCUGAAAACUCCUUGUCUUUGCCCAGAGGUGACUUCUCAGUUCCUUAGACUGAGGCGUCUGGAGUCUGUCCUGACUGUCAGUAUUCUCUGACCACCUUCCCAGGUAGGAGAUCAGAGGCAUGUCAGAAGGGAAGGUACAGACCUGCAAAUAUUUUUAGAUCUCUUACCUCCAAGGUGGGAAGAAUGACCAGGAGAACCCUUGCUCCAGGCCUGUUACCUAGAGUGGAUCCAGGGAAACAAAGGUCCUGUUGCCCACAGCCUGAUGUCUGAGCUGCUUCAUAGAACAUCAUCUUUGGGCACCCUCCCAGUCUGGGUGAGUAAUCUGGGUGAUGCUACAAGGAGCUAAAUCAAGAGUGUCCUGAAAUGGGGAGGCAAACAUCAUUUGCAUUUCACCUAGGAAACUCUGCCAGGGUUCUCUCUGUGUGACUACCCUCGAGGCCUCUUGGAAGAAAGAAACUCAAGGAAUUUAAGACUGACGCUCAGGCCCAGGGACUGGGACACCAAGGUUAAGAAUCCCUAAGAAUCUCUCUCUCUCUCUCUUUAAAAUUGUGGUAAGAACACUUAACUUGAGAUCUACACUCUUAAUGAAAUUCUAAGUGUACAAUACUGUAUUGUUAGCUAUAAGCACAAUGUUGUACAGCAGAUCUCUAGAACUUAUUCAACCUGUAUAAUUGAAACUUUAUACCCAUUAGAAAGCAACUCCCCUUUUCCCCUUCCCCUAGCCCCUGACAACCACUAUUCUACUCUGUUUCUAUGAGUUUGAGUAUCUCAGAUACCUCAUAAAAAUGGAAUCAUGCAGUAUUUGUUCCUAUAAGCCU